Molecule: ribosomal RNA, 498 nt
Filed under: uncultured bacterium
Lineage: Bacteria
Description: bacterial SSU rRNA
Rfam family: Bacterial small subunit ribosomal RNA
Source: RNAcentral
UGGCUCAGGACGAACGCUGGCGGCGUGCUUAACACAUGCAAGUCGAACGAAGCUUGAUGAUUGAUCCUUCGGGAUGAUUCUGAUAUGACUGAGUGGCGGACGGGUGAGUAACGCGUGAGGAACCUGCCUUUCAGAGGGGGACAACAUUUGGAAACGAAUGCUAAUACCGCAUAACAUUACCGAGUGGCAUCGCUUGGUAAUCAAAGAUUUAUCGCUGAAAGAUGGCCUCGCGUCCAAUUAGCUUGUUGGUGAGGUAACGGCCCACCAAGGCGAUGAUUGGUAGCCGGACUGAGAGGUUGAACGGCCACAUUGGGACUGAGACACGGCCCAGACUCCUACGGGAGGCAGCAGUGGGGAAUAUUGCACAAUGGGCGCAAGCCUGAUGCAGCAACGCCGCGUGGAGGAAGACGGUUUUCGGAUUGUAAACUCCUGUUCUUAGUGACGAAUCAUGACGGUAGCUAAGGAGCAAGCCACGGCUAACUACGUGCCAGCAGCGGC